CCUGAAUGCAUUAUAUGUACCUGAUUUCGUUCCAUAUCACUGACUCUAAAGAAGGUUUUGUUGCUCUUUAUAAGAAGAGAUUUCAUUCCAGGGCAGGAAGAAAUGUGUGUUGUAUAAGAACUACGUUGAUAUUGACGUUCAACUUGGCUUAAGGGAGGAAAAAAGUGGGGGCAGCAGAGGAAGAUGGAGAAGAAAUAAGAGGCAUGGGAGCGUCGAUGGACAGGAUUUGAUUAGAGGAAAAACAGACACCCCCCUGUCCUGGAAGAGACCCCAGGAGAAGUCUAAGGGCCUCUCAGCUCUGUAUCCUCCUCACAGCCCUCCUGAAGGCAGACGACCAUAUUCAGGGGGUACACACUCAAGUUCUCAUGCUCCCCUUGAGAGGAAACUGCUAUUGUAAGUGACAGCAACUCUCAGCUUCAUUGUCCAAACUCGGAAGUCACUUCUUUGGCACCACCUGCUGCUCUCUCUCUUUGGGGCCGCAGUCAUCAUAGGAGGUGUAGGAAGCAGCAAAACCAGAAUUCACCUAGUUCAGGCGGCAUCCUCUGUGUUCUUUGCUUUUAAGAAAAUAUUGCUGAAGGCCAUGGCACCCAAUGUGGAUUCUGCACCCCAGGUGUGGAAUGGAGCAUCUAUACUCCUAAGGAACCACCUGGAGCUCUCCACAGAGCAGUCCAUUAGAAGCUGGGGGGUGAGUCACAAACUCCUAUACUGUAGAAUGAAAACUGUCUUGAAUAAGAGGAGCAGAGAUGCUUGAACAUUCUCCUCCAAAGAGGAAGGCCAAAGGACUUGACAUUUAUUUGUUGAUCUUUAUGAUCCAUGCCUCUCAAGCAGUGUUGGCAAGUAUUAUCUAUCCCUAUUUACUAGGAGGGGAAACUGAGGCAGUCAGCCAGAAAGUAAAAUGAAUUUUCUAUAUAAUUAUUCUUAGCACCGUAUCAGUUGUUCAUGAUCAUUUUAGUGUAAUGUAUGUUUGAAUAGAAUAUGUUUAUCGAAUUCGUCAGCGUGGGUGACUUUGAUGCAACCGCAGUGUUCUUGGAAUGGUGUUUGGAAAUAUUUAGGAUUUUAGAAAACUUUUAAUUAUGUACUUAGAGCUAGCUAAGAGAAACGGUGACCUUUGGGUUGUUUUUAUUUUCAUUGUGGCUGUUGCUAUUACAGAAGUUAUUUCAGUAUUAUUAAUGCUUAGGAAAUCAUAGACUCUUAGGAAUUAGGAAAAAAAUCACUUAUGACUGAUAAACCUAAAUUCCAUUGAAAUGCCUUUGAAAAGACUUUUAAAGUGGUACUUCCCCCUUUUUGCCUUUUAGAAACUUUUAA
Molecule: long non-coding RNA, 1305 nt
Filed under: Canis lupus familiaris (dog)
Lineage: Eukaryota; Metazoa; Chordata; Mammalia; Carnivora; Canidae
Description: lncRNA (ENSCAFG00845028695.1)
Source: RNAcentral